Molecule: ribosomal RNA, 465 nt
Filed under: uncultured bacterium
Lineage: Bacteria
Description: partial 16S ribosomal RNA
Rfam family: Bacterial small subunit ribosomal RNA
Source: RNAcentral
ACGAACGCUGGCGGCGCGCCUAACACAUGCAAGUCGAACGAGCGAGAGAGAGCUUGCUUUCUCAAGCGAGUGGCGAACGGGUGAGUAACGCGUGAGGAACCUGCCUCAAAGAGGGGGACAACAGUUGGAAACGACUGCUAAUACCGCAUAAGCCCACGACCCGGCAUCGGGUAGAGGGAAAAGGAGCAAUCCGCUUGGAGAUGGCCUCGCGUCCGAUUAGCUAGUUGGUGAGGUAACGGCCCACCAAGGCGACGAUCGGUAGCCGGACUGAGAGGUUGAACGGCCACAUUGGGACUGAGACACGGCCCAGACUCCUACGGGAGGCAGCAGUGGGGAAUAUUGCACAAUGGGGGAAACCCUGAUGCAGCGACGCCGCGUGGAGGAAGAAGGUCUUCGGAUUGUAAACUCCUGUUGUUGAGGAAGAUAAUGACGGUACUCAACAAGGAAGUGACGGCUAACUACGUG